RNAcentral lists this non-coding RNA (25 nucleotides) under Mus musculus (house mouse). Lineage: Eukaryota; Metazoa; Chordata; Mammalia; Rodentia; Muridae. The record is from RNAcentral.
UGUGCCCAUAUCUUCGAGGCUUUUC